UGGGGAAUAUUGGACAAUGGGCGAAAGCCUGAUCCAGCCAUGCCGCGUGUGUGAAGAAGGUCUUCGGAUUGUAAAGUACCUUAAGUUGGGAGGAAGGGCAGUAAGCGAAUACCUUGCUGUUUUGACGUUACCGACAGAAUAAGCACCGGCUAACUCUGUGCCAGCAGCCGCGGUAAUACAGAGGGUGCAAGCGUUAAUCGGAAUUACUUGGCGUAAAGCGCGCGUAGGUGGUUCGUUAAGUUGAAUGUGAAAGCCCCGGGCUCAACCUGGGGACUGCAUCCAAAACUGGCGAGCUAGAGUAGGGCAGAGGGUGGUGGAAUGUCCUGUGUAGCGGUGAAAUGCGUGGAUAUAAGAAGGAACACCAGUGGCGAAGGCGACCACCUGGGCUCAUACUGACACUGAGGUGCGAAAGAGUGGGGAGCAAACAGG
Molecule: ribosomal RNA, 429 nt
Filed under: Pseudomonadota bacterium
Lineage: Bacteria; Pseudomonadati; Pseudomonadota
Description: Proteobacteria bacterium partial 16S ribosomal RNA
Rfam family: Bacterial small subunit ribosomal RNA
Source: RNAcentral